This 799-nucleotide ribosomal RNA is filed under the name Euphaedusa planostriata. RNAcentral describes it as "12S ribosomal RNA". Lineage: Eukaryota; Metazoa; Mollusca; Gastropoda; Stylommatophora; Clausiliidae. The record is from RNAcentral.
AUUGUACUUUAAUCUAAUACCACAACUAAAAUAGGGUUGAUAAAUAUGGAAAGUAUACUUGAAAUCCAGUUAAGAAAAUUGAUAAUGGGUAAACACCUAAUUCAGCUAACCUAAUAAUAGGGUCAAAGAUGGUGCCAGCAGACGCGGUCACACCAUCCCUAGUCAUAGUUAUAAUCACUUUCUUAUUUUCUUUUACGUAACUAAAAAUUAUAUAUAAGGUGAAAUUUCUUAUAAAAAUAUUCCUAAAUUGCGAUUUUAUAUAUAUAUACCAAAUUUAGAUAAAAAACUAGGAUUAGAUACCCUAUUAUUCUAACAACAACAUUAAUAAGAAAAAGUACUAAGGCUCUAUUAGCUGAAACUUAAACAUUAUGGCGGUCUUUUAAACAGUUAGGGGAACUUACCACAGAAUUGAUAUUCACCAAGAUUUAUUACAGUUAUUUAAAGUUGGUAUACCGUCGUCUUUAGAUUAAACCUUUAGGUUUAAUCACAAAUAUUGUACAAUAUGUAAGGCAGAUCCUAGUGCCGCCAAUAUAACUGAGCUAAGGCGAGUUACAUAUAAUAACUAUUUUCGGAUUUUCAUGCGUCAAGGCUGCCUUGAAGUAGGACUUAAAAGUAAUAAUUAAAUUUAAAUAGAUUAUGAAUAUUUUUUAUUAAAAGGUGUACAAAUCGCCCGUCACUCUCGUUGAAAAAUGAGAUAAGUCGUAACAUAGUAGGGGUAAUGGAAACUGCCCCUAAAGUAGAGUUCUACCAGUUAAGUUUAAAAUACUUUUCCCAAGAAGCAAAGAAGUUUUAUAUUACU